AUAACGAUAGUUCCGCCGGUGUUACAACCUUCUCGUCGGCGUCAAUAACACUUGACGACGACGUUUUAAUCAUUGUGGUGGCGGCGAACAUGGUUUGUACCGAAGAGCGACGAGGUAUGUUCGAUCAGAUGUUGCCAUAGCUCUGACAAUGACGGCGGUCAAGCGGUUAGGGUUUCGAUCAACUUCCGGUAAGCCCUUUUCUAUUGCAUGUUCACUAUUUUUUUAGAUCGGUUGUCACUGAACCUUAAUCCAGCGACUAAUGUUGAUCUGAUGAGUAAGUAACGUCUGCUGAGGUUUCGGUGAACGGCCAGGAGAAGAUUUCAGUGAAUGGGUAAGCACACAACCUUAAUUAUGCGUAUUCCUUCAGUGUGACGGUGAUGAUGUUGUGACGGUGUGGUUGUUAGGGUUUGUUUGCCCUAAUAAGUCGUUCUCAAACCCUAGGUGGAGAUAAGAACUGAUGGUGGACCAAUGAAGAUUGAUAAGGCUUAGUUGGUAAGAGUGGGUCGAAAUGGAAGUUAUGGAGGAGUUCUUCGGUGGAAAUCGAUUCGGGCUGGAAAGGAUUUAAAGGGAAGUACAGGGGAGUGGGAUCGGAUGGGUCGCAUUCGAGAUAAUAUCUCCCGUGCAGAAGAGGCAACAAGCUGAAUGGGAAGUUGUAUGUUCUAUGUAUAUGGCAUUGAUUUGAUCUUUGAAUCAAUGAUGAUUUGCAGCUGUUCUCUCUUUUUUGUUGUUGAAAAGGAAUUUUACAUUCUAUUUUUGAUAUGUUUGCAGCCACCAGGAACAAUAUAUGCUUUGAAGAUUCUGAGUUUCAACAGCUAAUGCAGGAAUGAACAUGUAUGUACUACUUUAAUAUUUUUUAAGUUCUCAACUUAGACAUUCAUUUUGUUCUACAGUGUUCGUCGCUGGUAGAAUUGCCUCUGUUUUGUAGUGUUCGCCGCUGAUGGAGCUUUUAGGUUCAACCCUUUGCUCUCACCCGGAUGGACCAUUUAGCCUAUUUUGGUGUAAAGUUUUGAGUUUGGCCUGUAUAACCUAAUCGAUGCGUAUUGGUAUGAAAAAUUGUGAGUUGUUUGGUUCUUAUUACAGAUUCAAAGGGCAAAAGUUUGUUUAGUCUUCAGAGAUAAUUUUCAUAAACAAGCAAGUUGAUUUAGUUUCCAUAAAGUUUUUGAUUGUUUCUUUUGGUUGGCUAGGUACCCGGACUAACAAGGCAACCAAAAGACACGACAAAAUCUUUUGUAAAGCUUUUGCACCAAGGCUAUCAAGCCACUAACAUAACGCAAACUCUUAUGCUAAACACCUUUUGUGCACAAAUUAUUAUACAUACUAAAUUACAACUUACAGCCUCAUCAACUUUCGAUGUCUUUUUUUGGCCACAAGAUUUACAGAUGCCACUAGCUGUUGUAUUCAUUGGUCGGCGAUGGACACGUGUAUUUCCUAUCUACGGUUUUCUCUAUUUCACUUUGUACCAAAAACACACAC
Helianthus annuus (common sunflower) is the source of this 1473-nucleotide long non-coding RNA. RefSeq lists it as uncharacterized. The record is from RefSeq and is a predicted model, not a curated record. Lineage: Eukaryota; Viridiplantae; Streptophyta; Magnoliopsida; Asterales; Asteraceae. The transcript is spliced from 3 exons.